UGAAUCUGCCCAUCUGUGGGGGAUACCAGUUGGAAACGACUGUUAAUACCGCAUAAUAUCUGCGGAUUAAAGGUGGCCUUUGUGCUGCCGCAGAUGGAUGAGCCUGCGUUGGAUUAGCUAGUUGGUAGGGUAAGGGCCUACCAAGGCUACGAUCCAUAGCUGAUUUGAGAGGAUGAUCAGCCACAUUGGGACUGAGACACGGCCCAAACUCCUACGGGAGGCAGCAGUGGGGAAUAUUGGACAAUGGGGGAAACCCUGAUCCAGCAAUGCCAUGUGUGUGAAGAAGGCUCUAGGGUUGUAAAGCACUUUAGUUGGGGAGGAAAGCCUAUAAGUUAAUAGCUUGUAGGAAGGACGUUACCCAAAGAAUAAGGACCGGCUAACUCCGUGCCAGCAGCCGCGGUAAUACGGGGGGUCCGAGCGUUAAUCGGAAUUACUGGGCGUAAAGGGUCUGUAGGUGGUUUGUUAAGUCAGAUGUGAAAGCCCAGGGCUCAACCUUGGAACUGCAUUUGAUACUGGCAAACUAGAGUAUGGUAGAGGAAUGGGGAAUUUCUGGUGUAGCGGUGAAAUGCGUAGAGAUCAGAAGGAACACCAAUGGCGAAGGCAACAUUCUGGAUCAAUACUGACACUGAGGGACGAAAGCGUGGGGAUCAAACAGGAUUAGAUACCCUGGUAGUCCACGCUGUAAACGAUGAGUACUAGCUGUUGGAUUCGGUGUAAAGGAUCUAGUGGCGCAGCUAACGCGUUAAGUACUCCGCCUGGGGACUACGGCCGCAAGGCUAAAACUCAAAGGAAUUGACGGGGACCCGCACAAGCGGUGGAGCAUGUGGUUUAAUUCGAUGCAACGCGAAGAACCUUACCUGGUCUUGACAUCCUGCGAACUUUCUAGAGAUAGAUUGGUGCCUUCGGGAACGCAGUGACAGGUGCUGCACGGCUGUCGUCAGCUCGUGUUGUGAAAUGUUGGGUUAAGUCCCGCAACGAGCGCAACCCCUAUUGAUAGUUACCAUCAUUAAGUUGGGUACUCUAUUGAGACUGCCGCUGACAAGGCGGAGGAAGGUGGGGACGACGUCAAGUCAUCAUGGCCCUUACGACCAGGGCUACACACGUGCUACAAUGGGUAUUACAGAGGGCUGCGAAGGUGCGAGCUGGAGCGAAACUCAGAAAGGUACUCUUAGUCCGGAUUGCAGUCUGCAACUCGACUGCAUGAAGUCGGAAUCGCUAGUAAUCGCAGGUCAGAAUACUGCGGUGAAUACGUUCCCGGGUCUUGUACACACCGCCCGUCACACCAUGGGAGUGGGUUGCUCCAGAAGUAGAUAGUUUAACGAAUGGGCGU
This 1330-nucleotide ribosomal RNA is filed under the name Francisella noatunensis subsp. noatunensis. Its description in RNAcentral is "bacterial SSU rRNA". It matches the Rfam family "Bacterial small subunit ribosomal RNA", at positions 122 to 1447 of the family's 1533-position model. The record is from RNAcentral. Lineage: Bacteria; Pseudomonadati; Pseudomonadota; Gammaproteobacteria; Thiotrichales; Francisellaceae.